This 253-nucleotide ribosomal RNA is filed under the name uncultured bacterium. Its description in RNAcentral is "partial 16S ribosomal RNA". It matches the Rfam family "Bacterial small subunit ribosomal RNA", at positions 524 to 776 of the family's 1533-position model. The record is from RNAcentral.
UACAGAGGGUGCGAGCGUUAAUCGGAAUUACUGGGCGUAAAGCGCGCGUAGGCGGCUUUGCAAGUCGGGUGUGAAAUCCCCAGGCUUAACCUGGGAACUGCAUUCGAGACUGCAUUGCUAGAGUAUGGGAGAGGUAAGCGGAAUUCCUGGUGUAGCGGUGAAAUGCGUAGAUAUCAGGAGGAACACCUGCGGUGUAGACGGCUUACUGGACCAUAACUGACGCUGAGGCACGAAAGCGUGGGUAGCAAACAGG